ACGGAAGGCAGCAGUGGGGAAUAUUGCACAAUGGGCGGAAGCCUGAUGCAGCGAUGCCGCGUGGAGGAAGAAGGUUUUCGGAUUGUAAACUCCUUUUAUCAGGGACGAUAAUGACGGUACCUGAAGAAAAAGCUCCGGCUAACUACGUGCCAGCAGCCGCGGUAAUACGUAGGGAGCGAGCGUUGUCCGGAAUUACUGGGUGUAAAGGGUGCGUAGGCGGGGAUGCAAGUCAGAUGUGAAAUGUAUGGGCUCAACCCAUGAACUGCAUUUGAAACUGUAUCUCUUGAGUGCUGGAGAGGUAGAUGGAAUUCCUUGUGUAGCGGUGAAAUGCGUAGAUAUAAGGAAGAACACCAGUGGCGAAGGCGAUCUACUGGACAGUAACUGACGCUGAGGCGCGAAAGCGUGGGGAGCAAACAGGAUUAGAUACCCUGGUA
Molecule: ribosomal RNA, 434 nt
Filed under: uncultured Ruminococcus sp.
Lineage: Bacteria; Bacillati; Bacillota; Clostridia; Eubacteriales; Oscillospiraceae
Description: bacterial SSU rRNA
Rfam family: Bacterial small subunit ribosomal RNA
Source: RNAcentral